GCCAAUUCUCCUGCAAAAACCACCAGUCAAACAAAGCAACGGCUGCUUACUCUCGACUGACGGUUGUUGAAAUCCUGUACAAAUUAUGAACAGAACAUUGUCGAACGAUGUCACGUAGACGUCCAAAUCCAUUUGCGUCCAUGGCCAGACCCAUUUUUACGGAUAUCCCAACCCAAGAACGCAUGCAGCGGUGUUGUGGUAGCACAUCAAGUAAAAACCCUAAGCCAAAUCGAACGAUGCGUAUCCGCUCGUCGGAUGCUGGGCCGCGGGGG
RNAcentral lists this long non-coding RNA (272 nucleotides) under Volvox carteri. RNAcentral's name for it is "long non-coding RNA (VCAR_LNC001250)". The record is from RNAcentral. Lineage: Eukaryota; Viridiplantae; Chlorophyta; Chlorophyceae; Chlamydomonadales; Volvocaceae.